UACGUAGGGGGCAAGCGUUGUCCGGAUUCAUUGGGCGUAAAGAGCGUGUAGGCGGCCAGGUAGGUCGGUUGUGAAAACUGGAGGCUCAACCUUCAGAGGUCGACCGAAACCAUCUGGCUAGAGUCCGGGAGAGGAGAGUGGAAUUCCUGGUGUAGCGGUGAAAUGCGUAGAUAUCGAGAGGAACACCAGAGGUGAAGACGGGUUGCUGGGCCGACACUGACGCUGAGGCGCGAAAGCCAGGGGAGCAAACGGG
Molecule: ribosomal RNA, 253 nt
Filed under: uncultured bacterium
Lineage: Bacteria
Description: partial 16S ribosomal RNA
Rfam family: Bacterial small subunit ribosomal RNA
Source: RNAcentral